This is a non-coding RNA of Phalacrocorax carbo (great cormorant), 1008 nucleotides long. The record is from RefSeq and is a predicted model, not a curated record. Lineage: Eukaryota; Metazoa; Chordata; Aves; Suliformes; Phalacrocoracidae.
CAGAAUCCCAGGUUGGAAGGGACCUCAGGGAUCAUCUAGUCCAACCUUUCUAGGAAGAGCAGAGUCUAAACAAGAUGGCCCAGCACCCUGUCCAGACGACUCUUGAAGGUGUCCAACGUGGCCGAGUCAACCACUUCCCUGGGGAGAUUAUUCCAACGGUGACUGUCCUCGCUGUGAAAAAUUUCCCUCUGGUGUCCAGUCGGAAUCUCCCCAAGAGCAACUUGUGUCCAUCCCCCUUGUCUUCUCCAUGCGACUCCAAGUAAAAAGGGAGUCUCCAUCUUCUAUGUAGCUACCCCUUAAGUACUGCCUGGCCACAUGCUGUUUGUAGAGCGGGGACCAGAACUGGACACAGGACUCCAGGUGUGGCCUGACAAGCGCUGAGUAGAGCGGGAUGAUGACUUCUUUAUCUCUGCAGGUGAUGCCCUUUUGAUGCAACCCAGCAUCCUGUUGGCCUUCUUGGCCGCAGCAGCCACUGUUCGCUCAUGUUGAGCUUCCCGUCCACCAGGACCCCCAGGGCCCUUUCCACAGAGCUGCUCUCCAGCCAGGUUCUUGCUGGCCCACUCCUCCAGCCUAUCCAGAUCUCCCUGCAGAGCAGCUCUCCCUUCUGGAGUGUCUACUUCCCCACUCAACUUGGUGUCAUCAGCAAACUUCAUCAGGCUACACUUGAUGCCGGUACCCAGAUCACUUAUAAAGAUGCUGAAUAACAUUGGGGCCGGUAUCGAUCCCUGGGGGACUCCACUUGUGACAGGUUGCCAGUCUGAGAAAGAGCUAUUUACCACCAACCUUUAGUCUGCCAAUUCCCCACCCACUGCACAGACCACUUGUCUAGGCCAUAACGCAUCAAUUUCUCCAGGAGGAGGCUGUGGGGGACCGUAUCAAAGGCCUUGGAGAAGUCCAGGUAGACAAUGUCCACCGCCUGCCCCAUGUCAACCAGGCAAGUCACUUUGUCAUAGAAGGCCACCAGGUUAGUCAAGCACGAUCUGCCUUUAGUGAAGCCAUGUUGGCUUU